AAGUCGUAACAAGGUUUCCGUAGGUGAACCUGCGGAAGGAUCAUUAUUGAAAUGCUUUGGAGAAGUACUGUUGCUGGCCUCUUAACAGAGGCAUGUGCACGUCUUCUUUAAAUCUAUUCAUCCACCUGUGCACUUUUUGUAGAAGUUCUUGUGAGGUUUUGGUUGUGGACUUAGGUCUGCAGUUGAUUCUUUGCGAGUCUUCUAUGUCUUACAAACUCUAUUAGUAUGUUUUAGAAUGUCUUUUAUUGGGACUUCAUUGGCCCUUUAAACUUUAUACAACUUUCAGCAACGGAUCUCUUGGCUCUCCCAUCGAUGAAGAACGCAGCGAAAUGCGAUAAGUAAUGUGAAUUGCAGAAUUCAGUGAAUCAUCGAAUCUUUGAACGCACCUUGCGCCCUUUGGUAUUCCGAAGGGCAUGCCUGUUUGAGUGUCAUUAAAUUCUCAACUUCAAUAGUUUUUAUAGCUCAUUGAAGCUUGGAUGUGGGAGCUUGCUGGCGUCUUAGAUGUUCGGCUCUCCUUAAAAGCAUUAGUGGAAACUCGUUUGUUGGACCACCCUUGGUGUGAUAAUUAUCUACGCCUUGGUCAGUCUGGCAGCUCUGGUUUGAUUGUCCUCAGGCGUUCCAGUGGAGCGUUCUGGUUGGGGCGGCUGCAUUAAUUUGCUCUGCCUGCAAUAAGAUCUCACUAGAGUAGGGAUGUCUGCUUUCUAACCGUCUGUGUAUUCAGACAAUUUAUUGACUAUUUGACCUCAAAUCAGGUAGGACUACCCGCUGAACUUAAGCAUAUCAAUAAGCGGAGGAAAAGAAACUAACAAGGAUUCCCCUAGUAACUGCGAGUGAAGUGGGAAGAGCUCAAAUUUGUAAUCUAGCGGCCUUUGGCCGUCCGAGUUGUAAUCUAAAGAA
This 897-nucleotide unclassified non-coding RNA is filed under the name uncultured Marasmius. RNAcentral's name for it is "sequence contains ITS1, 5.8S rRNA gene and ITS2". The stretch from base 278 to 431 matches the Rfam family "5.8S ribosomal RNA". The record is from RNAcentral. Lineage: Eukaryota; Fungi; Basidiomycota; Agaricomycetes; Agaricales; Tricholomataceae.